AUCCAGCUGACGAGUCCAAAAUAGAACGAAACACACGUCCUGGAU
Molecule: non-coding RNA, 45 nt
Filed under: Schistosoma margrebowiei
Lineage: Eukaryota; Metazoa; Platyhelminthes; Trematoda; Strigeidida; Schistosomatidae
Source: RNAcentral